Molecule: ribosomal RNA, 1011 nt
Filed under: Vibrio harveyi
Lineage: Bacteria; Pseudomonadati; Pseudomonadota; Gammaproteobacteria; Vibrionales; Vibrionaceae
Description: bacterial SSU rRNA
Rfam family: Bacterial small subunit ribosomal RNA
Source: RNAcentral
CGUGUGUGAAGAAGGCCUUCGGGUUGUAAAGCACUUUCAGUCGUGAGGAAGGUAGUGUAGUUAAUAGCUGCAUUAUUUGACGUUAGCGACAGAAGAAGCACCGGCUAACUCCGUGCCAGCAGCCGCGGUAAUACGGAGGGUGCGAGCGUUAAUCGGAAUUACUGGGCGUAAAGCGCAUGCAGGUGGUUUGUUAAGUCAGAUGUGAAAGCCCGGGGCUCAACCUCGGAAUAGCAUUUGAAACUGGCAGACUAGAGUACUGUAGAGGGGGGUAGAAUUUCAGGUGUAGCGGUGAAAUGCGUAGAGAUCUGAAGGAAUACCGGUGGCGAAGGCGGCCCCCUGGACAGAUACUGACACUCAGAUGCGAAAGCGUGGGGAGCAAACAGGAUUAGAUACCCUGGUAGUCCACGCCGUAAACGAUGUCUACUUGGAGGUUGUGGCCUUGAGCCGUGGCUUUCGGAGCUAACGCGUUAAGUAGACCGCCUGGGGAGUACGGUCGCAAGAUUAAAACUCAAAUGAAUUGACGGGGGCCCGCACAAGCGGUGGAGCAUGUGGUUUAAUUCGAUGCAACGCGAAGAACCUUACCUACUCUUGACAUCCAGAGAACUUUCCAGAGAUGGAUUGGUGCCUUCGGGAACUCUGAGACAGGUGCUGCAUGGCUGUCGUCAGCUCGUGUUGUGAAAUGUUGGGUUAAGUCCCGCAACGAGCGCAACCCUUAUCCUUGUUUGCCAGCACUUCGGGUGGGAACUCCAGGGAGACUGCCGGUGAUAAACCGGAGGAAGGUGGGGACGACGUCAAGUCAUCAUGGCCCUUACGAGUAGGGCUACACACGUGCUACAAUGGCGCAUACAGAGGGCGGCCAACUUGCGAGAGUGAGCGAAUCCCAAAAAGUGCGUCGUAGUCCGGAUCGGAGUCUGCAACUCGACUCCGUGAAGUCGGAAUCGCUAGUAAUCGUGGAUCAGAAUGCCACGGUGAAUACGUUCCCGGGGCCUUGUACACACCGCCCGUCACACC